GGGCGAGUCGCCAAGUGGUCUAAGGCGCCAGGAGUUGCAUUCCGGUAAUCGUGGGUUCGAAUCCCACCUCGCCCU
Molecule: transfer RNA, 75 nt
Filed under: Anaerolineaceae bacterium
Lineage: Bacteria; Bacillati; Chloroflexota; Anaerolineae; Anaerolineales; Anaerolineaceae
Description: tRNA-Ala
Rfam family: tRNA
About the family: Transfer RNA (tRNA) molecules are approximately 80 nucleotides in length. Their secondary structure includes four short double-helical elements and three loops (D, anti-codon, and T loops). Further hydrogen bonds mediate the characteristic L-shaped molecular structure. tRNAs have two regions of fundamental functional importance: the anti-codon, which is responsible for specific mRNA codon recognition, and the 3' end, to which the tRNAs corresponding amino acid is attached (by aminoacyl-tRNA synthetases). tRNAs cope with the degeneracy of the genetic code in two manners: having more than one tRNA (with a specific anti-codon) for a particular amino acid; and 'wobble' base-pairing, i.e. permitting non-standard base-pairing at the 3rd anti-codon position.
Source: RNAcentral